Molecule: ribosomal RNA, 416 nt
Filed under: uncultured beta proteobacterium
Lineage: Bacteria; Pseudomonadati; Pseudomonadota; Betaproteobacteria
Description: bacterial SSU rRNA
Rfam family: Bacterial small subunit ribosomal RNA
Source: RNAcentral
GAGUUUGAUCAUGGCUCAGAUUGAACGCUGGCGGCAUGCCUUACACAUGCAAGUCGAGCGGCAGCGCGGGGGCAACCCUGGCGGCGAGCGGCGAACGGGUGAGUAAUGCAUCGGAACGUGUCCUCUUGUGGGGGAUAACCAGUCGAAAGACUGGCUAAUACCGCAUGAGAUCGAGAGAUGAAAGCAGGGGACCGCAAGGCCUUGCGCGAGAGGAGCGGCCGAUGCCGGAUUAGCUAGUUGGUGGGGUAAAAGCCUACCAAGGCGACGAUCCGUAGCUGGUCUGAGAGGACGACCAGCCACACUGGGACUGAGACACGGCCCAGACUCCUACGGGAGGCAGCAGUGGGGAAUUUUGGACAAUGGGGGAAACCCUGAUCCAGCCAUGCCGCGUGUGUGAAGAAGGCCUCGGUUGUAAG